UGUGUUUCGACACACUAUCAUUAACUGAAUCCAUAGGUUAAUGAGGCGAACCGGGGGAACUGAAACAUCUAAGUACCCCGAGGAAAAGAAAUCAACCGAGAUUCCCCCAGUAGCGGCGAGCGAACGGGGAGGAGCCCAGAGCCUGAAUCAGUGUGUGUGUUAGUGGAAGCGUCUGGAAAGGCGCGCGAUACAGGGUGACAGCCCCGUACACAAAAAUGCACAUACUGUGAGCUCGAUGAGUAGGGCGGGACACGUGGUAUCCUGUCUGAAUAUGGGGGGACCAUCCUCCAAGGCUAAAUACUCCUGACUGACCGAUAGUGAACCAGUACCGUGAGGGAAAGGCGAAAAGAACCCCGGCGAGGGGAGUGAAAAAGAACCUGAAACCGUGUACGUACAAGCAGUGGGAGCCUCUUAAUGGGGUGACUGCGUACCUUUUGUAUAAUGGGUCAGCGACUUAUAUUCUGUAGCAAGGUUAACCGAAUAGGGGAGCCGAAGGGAAACCGAGUCUUAACUGGGCGUUAAGUUGCAGGGUAUAGACCCGAAACCCGGUGAUCUAGCCAUGGGCAGGUUGAAGGUUGGGUAACACUAACUGGAGGACCGAACCGACUAAUGUUGAAAAAUUAGCGGAUGACUUGUGGCUGGGGGUGAAAGGCCAAUCAAACCGGGAGAUAGCUGGUUCUCCCCGAAAGCUAUUUAGGUAGCGCCUCGUGAAUUCAUCUCCGGGGGUAGAGCACUGUUUCGGCAAGGGGGUCAUCCCGA
Molecule: ribosomal RNA, 759 nt
Filed under: Escherichia coli
Lineage: Bacteria; Pseudomonadati; Pseudomonadota; Gammaproteobacteria; Enterobacterales; Enterobacteriaceae
Description: partial 23S ribosomal RNA
Rfam family: Bacterial large subunit ribosomal RNA
Source: RNAcentral